UGCUUUUUGCGCGCAAGUUUUGUAUGAAAUUGCAACAUUUACAUAAAUCUGGCAUUGCCAUCUGGCUGAUUUAAGCACUAAACCUAUAGCUAAAGAUGUCACAUCAUGUUUAUAUUUGAAAGAAAGAAAGAAAAAAUGUUUAUUCAGUAUCAUCGACAAUACACUUGCAUAUUUGAUAAAACUCCUAACCUGUAGGAGAUUCCAUAAUGUAAGUCACAUUUUUUUAACGUGUUAAUGAAAAAGCGCAAUCCCUGAAAUUAGUUUGUUCGGAAUCGAGAGUAGAAUCGAUUCCACUAAUAAAAAAUAGGGUCAAAUUUUAACCAAAAAAAUAUUUUAAUUACGCCGUGUUACUUAACUCUAUUAUCAGAGGUGUAUGAACUAUCUAACUACUAACCUACUCAUUGGCGUGCAUGCCUUGCAAUCAGCGAGUAAAAGAUCAAUACGUUUCUAGGGUUUCUAGGGCGAAAACAAAAAGAGUGAAUAUCUUCGUAAAUAAUCCGCGAAAAUUAAUUUUAAUAAUUUACAUAAUUCUUUUAUAAUAAAUAUAAGUUAGGGUGUCUAAGUUUUUGCACUUUUUCAUUAACACGUUGUAGUUAUAAAGUCAACAAAUACCUUAUUAAAUACAAAAUAUCACUGUGUAGUUAAGGAAUAUGAUAAUAACACAAUAAUACAAAAACAACAGGCAGUGGGUUAACAUAUUUUUUGUCUCACUCACGCCAGCAUGUUUAAGUGAGAGGCAAAUAAAUUAUGAGUGCCCAAUGAGAAGUAAUUUUGCUAAGUAAGCUCAUACUCAGGACAUGCAUUUGCAUUUUACAUGUCAUAAUAAUGCAGCAUGCAUGCAUGUAUGCUCUUUGCAUAACAUAAUAAUGUCGCAUGCUUGCAUGUACGCACUUUGCAUAUCAUAAUAAUGCAGUAUAAUAAUAUUGUGCCACUACAAGUGGAAUACUCGGAUUCAGUUUAUUUCAUUUAACUACAAUUAAUUUAUUUAACCAUUAUUGAAUUAAAUUAAUACUGUACAUUGGAAUUUAUCGAACUGAUGCAUUGAUGUGUUUUAAUACUACGUGUGUAAUAAAAUCAAAUUAUAUUUUGUUAAGAUUUAAAAAUUUCAUAGUAAACACAGAUCGAGGCAAACAUACUGUAUUUCUUAAUUAUUCAUAUUUUUCACUAAAGUGAUAAGGUGGCAUGUGCGACAGAGAUAGGUAAACUCAAUCAAUCAUGGAAUCAGCAUAUGAAACUGCUCUGAUAAAAA
Molecule: long non-coding RNA, 1249 nt
Organism: Ostrinia furnacalis (Asian corn borer)
Lineage: Eukaryota; Metazoa; Arthropoda; Insecta; Lepidoptera; Crambidae
Exons: 2
Source: RefSeq, a predicted model, not a curated record